UGUGACACCCGGGCACUGACGAGGGCGGGGAGUGAUCGUCGGUGCAAGAAGCAUGGUGCAGGGGGCACGGACAAGGAGCGGCUCCUGGCAGGCUUCAAGUGGAAGGGGCACAUGGACGAAUCGAACAUACACCGGAAUGAGAGGGAUCUGGAGAUUGUAUAGGUAUGAGACUAUACAAUUGAAGGAUAGCUUAAAGGAAUUGAUUUGACUACUCAUAUCAACAAAUGCAUUUGCUUUUCGGUAGCCUAACUCAUAAGAACUCCAUGGUUAAGCGUGCUUAGCCUAGAGUAAUUAUGGGAUGGGUGACCUUUCGGGAAGUUUUCUCGGAAAGUGUGUGAGUGAGGACAAAGCACACUAGAAAGCCUCGUGUUGAUGUGUGAGGGCAGUCAGCAGUCCCUGUAAGUUGCCGGGGCAUUACAAAUGGUAUCAGAGCCCAGCCUCUCUCCCAGUAUGGUGUGGUUCGAGGACGAACCAGACGAAAGCUGGUGGGCAUGUGACACCCGGGCACUGACGAGGGCGGGGGGCUAUGGACGAAUCGAACAUACACCGGAAUGAGAGGGAUCUGGAGAUUGUAUAGGUAUGAGACUAUACAGUUGAAGGAUAGCUUAAAGGAAUUGAUUUGACUACUCAUAUCAACAAAUGCAUUUGCUUUUUGGUAGCCUAACUCAUAAGAACUUCAUGGUUAAGCGUGCUUAGCCUAGAGUAAUUAUGGGAUGGGUGACCUUUCGGAAAGUUUUCUCGAAAAGUGUGUGAGUGAGGACAAAGCACACUGGAAAGCCUCGUGUUGAUGUGUGGGGGCAGUCAGCAGUCCCUGUAAGUUGUC
RNAcentral lists this long non-coding RNA (823 nucleotides) under Vigna radiata. RNAcentral's name for it is "long non-coding RNA (VRAD_LNC008863)". Lineage: Eukaryota; Viridiplantae; Streptophyta; Magnoliopsida; Fabales; Fabaceae. The record is from RNAcentral.